RNAcentral lists this transfer RNA (83 nucleotides) under Pseudomonadota bacterium. RNAcentral describes it as "tRNA-Leu". It matches the Rfam family "tRNA". Rfam says of the family: Transfer RNA (tRNA) molecules are approximately 80 nucleotides in length. Their secondary structure includes four short double-helical elements and three loops (D, anti-codon, and T loops). Further hydrogen bonds mediate the characteristic L-shaped molecular structure. tRNAs have two regions of fundamental functional importance: the anti-codon, which is responsible for specific mRNA codon recognition, and the 3' end, to which the tRNAs corresponding amino acid is attached (by aminoacyl-tRNA synthetases). tRNAs cope with the degeneracy of the genetic code in two manners: having more than one tRNA (with a specific anti-codon) for a particular amino acid; and 'wobble' base-pairing, i.e. permitting non-standard base-pairing at the 3rd anti-codon position. The record is from RNAcentral. Lineage: Bacteria; Pseudomonadati; Pseudomonadota. RNAcentral also lists the same sequence under 1 other name.
GGGUGAGUGGCGGAACUUGGUAGACGCACCGGACUUAGGAUCCGGCGGGUUCGCCCGUGAGGGUUCGAAUCCCUCCUCACCCA